RNAcentral lists this ribosomal RNA (274 nucleotides) under uncultured bacterium. RNAcentral's name for it is "partial 16S ribosomal RNA". It matches the Rfam family "Bacterial small subunit ribosomal RNA", at positions 523 to 796 of the family's 1533-position model. The record is from RNAcentral.
AUACGGAGGGGGUUAGCGUUGUUCGGAAUUACAGGGCGUAAAGCGCACGUAGGCGGAUUGGAAAGUUGGGGGUGAAAUCCCAGGGCUCAACCCUGGAACUGCCUCCAAAACUAAAAGUCUAGAGUUCGAGAGAGGUGAGUGGAAUUCCAAGUGUAGAGGUGAAAUUCGUAGAUAUUUGGAGGAACACCAGUGGCGAAGGCGGCUCACUGGCUCGAUACUGACGCUGAGGUGCGAAAGCGUGGGGAGCAAACAGGAUUAGAAACCCUUGUAGUCC